RNAcentral lists this unclassified non-coding RNA (379 nucleotides) under soil metagenome. RNAcentral describes it as "partial contains 5.8S ribosomal RNA, internal transcribed spacer 2, and large subunit ribosomal RNA". The stretch from base 1 to 120 matches the Rfam family "5.8S ribosomal RNA", at positions 35 to 154 of the family's 154-position model. The record is from RNAcentral.
GAUGAAGAACGUAGCGAAAUGCGAUAAGUAAUGUGAAUUGCAGAAUUCAGUGAAUCAUCGAAUCUUUGAACGCACCUUGCACCCUUUGGCAUUCCGAAGGGUAUGCUCGUUUGAGUGUCAUUGUACUCUCACACUUCCGAUCUUUGGAUUGGGGGCGGUGGACUUGGGUGUUGCUGCUUACUGUGGCUCACCUCAAAUUGAUUCGUGCACCUCUUGGUUGGACAUAGUACGGCGUGAUAAGUGUCUUCGCCGGCACCUCAGUAGAGGGUGGCUGAUCGGGAGCUCUGUGCUUCAAACCGUCCUCGGACAACAACUGACAACUUGACCUCAAAUCGAGUAGGACUACCCGCUGAACUUAAGCAUAUCAAUAAGCGGAGGA